AUUGAACGCUGGCGGCAUGCCUUACACAUGCAAGUCGAACGGCAGCAUGAUCUAGCUUGCUAGAUUGAUGGCGAGUGGCGAACGGGUGAGUAAUACAUCGGAACGUGCCCUGUAGGGGGGGAUAACUAGUCGAAAGAUUAGCUAAUACCGCAUACGACCUGAGGGUGAAAGUGGGGGACCGCAAGGCCCCAUGCUAUAGGAGCGGCCGAUGUCUGAUUGGCUAGUUGGUGAGGUAAAGGCUCACCAAGGCGACGAUCAGUAGCUGGUCUGAGAGGCAGACCAGCCACACUGGGACUGAGACACGGCCCAGACUCCUACGGGAGGCAGCAGUGGGGAAUUUUGGACAAUGGGCGAAAGCCUGAUCCAGCAAUGCCGCGUGUGUGAAGAAGGCCUUCGGUUUGUAAAGCACUUUUGUCCGGAAAGAAAUGGCUCUGGUUAAUACCUGGGGUCGAUGACGGUACCGGAAGAAUAAGGACCGGCUAACUACGUG
Molecule: ribosomal RNA, 490 nt
Filed under: uncultured bacterium
Lineage: Bacteria
Description: partial 16S ribosomal RNA
Rfam family: Bacterial small subunit ribosomal RNA
Source: RNAcentral